AGGGUUUGAUCCUGGCUCAGAGUGAACGCUGGCGGCGUGGAUUAGGCAUGCAAGUCGAGCGAUCUUAAUAAAUGAACUAUUUGAAAUUUUGGAAGUUCUGCCUUGUGUGGAAUGGAAAAAAUGGAUUGUAGCUAGUUUUUUAAGAUAGCGGCAAAAGGGUGAGUAACGCGUGGGUAAUUUGCCCUGAGAUGAGGGAUAGCUUCGUGAAAGCGAAGGUAAUACCUCGUAAGUCCUGUGUCAUCUAGACACCGGGGAAAGGUGGCGAAUAUUUACUUCGGUAGAUAUGCUAUCGUCUUAGGAGGAGCCCGCGUCCUGUCAGCUUGUUGGUGGGGUAAUGGCCUACCAAGGCGAUGACGGGUAGCUGGCAUUAGCGUGUGGUCAGCCACACCGGGACUGAGACACUGCCCGGACUCCUACGGGAGGCUGCAGUCGAGAAUCUUUCCCAAUGCCCGAAAGGGUGAGGAUGCGACGCCGCGUGGAGGAUGAAGGUUUUCGGAUUGUAAACUCCUUUUGUUAAGGAAGAAAUCCCUGUGAUGAAUAAGCAUAGGGGCUGACGUUACUUAACGAAUAAGCCACGGCUAAAUCCGUGCCAGCAGCCGCGGUAAUACGGAUGUGGCGAGCGUUACUCGGUAUUACUGGGUGUAAAGGGUCCGCAGGCGGCCAAUUAAGUAAGAGGUGAAAUCUUUCGGCUUAACUGAAAAACUGCCUCUUAUACUGUUUGGCUAGAGGGUAAGAGAGGAAAGCGGAACUGCCGGUGUAAGGGUGAAAUCUGUGGAUAUCGGCAGGAACGCCAGUGACGAAGGUGGCUUUCUGGUUUAUACCUGACGCUCAGGGACGAAAGCUAGGGGAGAGAACAGGAUUAGAUACCCUGGUAUUCCUAGCCGUAAACGAUGGGUACUAGGUGUUUCGACCUUUGGUCGGAGCGCCGUAGCUAACGCGUUAAGUACCCCACCUGGGGACUACGGCCGCAAGGCUAAAACUCAAAGGAAUUGACGGGGGCCCGCACAAGCGGUGGAACACGUGGUUUAAUUCGAUGCUACGCGAGGAACCUUACCAGGGUUUUGACAUGCUAGAAGUACUCCGGUAGAAACACUGGGAGACCGUAUCCAAUCGGCGUCUAGCACAGGUGCUGCAUGGUUGUCGUCAGCUCGUGCCGUGAGGUGUCGCCUUAAGUGGUUUAACGAGCGCAACCCUCGCCUUUAGUUGCUACCCUAAUGAUUCAUUAGGCGCACUCUAGAGGGACUGCCCACGUUAAGUGGGAGGAAGGCGGGGAUGACGUCAAAUCAGCAUGGUCCUUAUGUCCUGGGCUACACACGUGUUACGAUGGCGUGUACAGUGGGAGGCUAAGCCGUAAGGUGGAGCAAAUCCCGUAAAGCACGCCUCAGUUCGGAUUGAGGGCUGAAACCUGCCCUCAUGAAGCUGGAAUCGCUAGUAACGGCGUAUCAGCAACGACGCCGUGAAUACGUUCCCGGGCCUUGUACACACCGCCCGUCAAGCGCCGAAAGUGGGGGGCACUCGAAGCUCCGUUUAUUCGGAGACACAGUGAAUUUCAUGAUUGGUGCUAAGUCGUAACAAGGUA
RNAcentral lists this ribosomal RNA (1579 nucleotides) under metagenome. RNAcentral's name for it is "bacterial SSU rRNA". It matches the Rfam family "Bacterial small subunit ribosomal RNA". The record is from RNAcentral.